Molecule: unclassified non-coding RNA, 255 nt
Filed under: Hevea brasiliensis (rubber tree)
Lineage: Eukaryota; Viridiplantae; Streptophyta; Magnoliopsida; Malpighiales; Euphorbiaceae
Source: RNAcentral
UUGAUGUUGAGUUGCUUGAGGUCCGUCCAUCCAAGUAUUGUAAAUUCCGAGAGAAAUCAUUUAUAUAAAAUAAAGAAACUAUGUACUAGUUAUUAGGCCGCAUAUAAUGUGUAAAUUCAACUAAAUGUUAUUAGAAACAUUAUAUUUGAUCACUAUAAGAUAUUUAUGAAUUGUGUUAUGAGUGAAUUUAUUGUGUGAAUUUUGUAAAGUUAAUUAGUUUAUAAUUUAUUAUAUUGACCCAUCGUUGAAAGAAUA